Molecule: ribosomal RNA, 356 nt
Filed under: uncultured bacterium
Lineage: Bacteria
Description: bacterial SSU rRNA
Rfam family: Bacterial small subunit ribosomal RNA
Source: RNAcentral
GUGAGUAGUUCAGAGUUUGAUCCUGGCUCAGGACGAACGCUGGCGGCAUGCCUAACACAUGCAAGUCGAACGGAACUUUUUCAAUUGAUUUCUUCGGAUUGAUUUUGGUUAAGUUUAGUGGCGGACGGGUGAGUAAUGCGUGAGUAACCUGCCUCCGAGAGGGGAAUAACAAUCUGAAAAGAUUGCUAAUACCGCAUAACAUAUGUUUACCGCAUGGUAGAUAUAUCAAAGAUUUAUCGCUCGGAGAUGGACUCGCGUCCGAUUAGGUGGUUGGUGAGGUAACGGCUCACCAAGCCGACGAUCGGUAGCCGGACUGAGAGGUUGAACGGCCACAUUGGGACUGAGACACGGCCCAG